RNAcentral lists this ribosomal RNA (287 nucleotides) under uncultured bacterium. Its description in RNAcentral is "partial 16S ribosomal RNA". It matches the Rfam family "Bacterial small subunit ribosomal RNA", at positions 335 to 614 of the family's 1533-position model. The record is from RNAcentral.
AUGCCUACGGGGCGCAGCAGUAGGGAAUCUUCCACAAUGGACGAAAGUCUGAUGGAGCAACGCCGCGUGAGUGAAGAAGGGUUUCGGCUCGUAAAGCUCUGGUGGUAGUGAAGAAAGAUAGAGGUAGUAACUGGCCUUUAUUUGAUGGUAAUUACUUAGAAAGUCACGGCUAACUACGUGCCAGCAGCCGCGGUAAUACGUAGGUGGCAAGCGUUGUCCGGAUUUAUUGGGCGUAAAGCGAGUGCAGGCGGUUCAAUAAAGCUGAUGUGUAAGACUUCUGGUCAACC